AAAAGGACUGAUGAAAGACGGAAGU
This 25-nucleotide small RNA is filed under the name Arabidopsis thaliana (thale cress). RNAcentral's name for it is "ATSL061700". Lineage: Eukaryota; Viridiplantae; Streptophyta; Magnoliopsida; Brassicales; Brassicaceae. The record is from RNAcentral.